This 64-nucleotide non-coding RNA is filed under the name Helianthus annuus (common sunflower). The record is from RNAcentral. Lineage: Eukaryota; Viridiplantae; Streptophyta; Magnoliopsida; Asterales; Asteraceae.
UUGAGCUGUAUGAGAUGAAAGUCUCAUAUACAGUUCUCGGAGGGGGGAUCGCACCUAUCUCAAU